AUUGAACGCUGGCGGCAUGCCUUACACAUGCAAAUCGAACGGUAACGGGCCUUCGGGUGCCGACGAGUGGCGAACGGGUGAGUAAUACAUCGGAACGUGCCCGAUCGUGGGGGAUAACGAGGCGAAAGCUUUGCUAAUACCGCAUACGAUCUACGGAUGAAAGCCGGGGACCGCAAGGCCUUGCGCGGACGGAGCGGCCGAUGGCAGAUUAGGUAGUUGGUGGGAUAAAAGCUUACCAAGCCGACGAUCUGUAGCUGGUCUGAGAGGAUGAUCAGCCACACUGGGACUGAGACACGGCCCAGACUCCUACGGGAGGCAGCAGUGGGGAAUUUUGGACAAUGGGCGCAAGCCUGAUCCAGCCAUGCCGCGUGCAGGAUGAAGGCCUUCGGGUUGUAAACUGAUUUUGUACGGAACGAAAAGCCUUCUUUUAAUACAGGAGGGUCAUGACGGUACCGUAAGAAUAAGCACCGGCUAACUACGUG
Molecule: ribosomal RNA, 482 nt
Filed under: uncultured bacterium
Lineage: Bacteria
Description: partial 16S ribosomal RNA
Rfam family: Bacterial small subunit ribosomal RNA
Source: RNAcentral